RNAcentral lists this ribosomal RNA (645 nucleotides) under Salmonella enterica. RNAcentral's name for it is "partial 23S ribosomal RNA". It matches the Rfam family "Bacterial large subunit ribosomal RNA", at positions 1 to 688 of the family's 2925-position model. Lineage: Bacteria; Pseudomonadati; Pseudomonadota; Gammaproteobacteria; Enterobacterales; Enterobacteriaceae. The record is from RNAcentral.
GGUUAAGCGACUAAGCGUACACGGUGGAUGCCCUGGCAGUCAGAGGCGAUGAAGGACGUGCUAAUCUGCGAUAAGCGCCGGUAAGGUGAUAUGAACCGUUAUAACCGGCGAUUUCCGAAUGGGGAAACCCAGUGUGACUCGUCACACUAUCAUUAACUGAAUCCAUAGGUUAAUGAGGCGAACCGGGGGAACUGAAACAUCUAAGUACCCCGAGGAAAAGAAAUCAACCGAGAUUCCCCCAGUAGCGGCGAGCGAACGGGGAGGAGCCCAGAGCCUGAAUCAGCAUGUGUGUUAGUGGAAGCGUCUGGAAAGGCGCGCGAUACAGGGUGACAGCCCCGUACACAAAAGCGCAUGUGCUGUGAGCUCGAUGAGUAGGGCGGGACACGUGGUAUCCUGUCUGAAUAUGGGGGGACCAUCCUCCAAGGCUAAAUACUCCUGACUGACCGAUAGUGAACCAGUACCGUGAGGGAAAGGCGAAAAGAACCCCGGCGAGGGGAGUGAAAAAGAACCUGAAACCGUGUACGUACAAGCAGUGGGAGCACCCUUUGGGGUGUGACUGCGUACCUUUUGUAUAAUGGGUCAGCGACUUAUAUUCUGUAGCAAGGUUAACCGUAUAGGGGAGCCGUAGGGAAACCGAGUCUUAAC